Long non-coding RNA from Lynx canadensis (Canada lynx), 944 nucleotides. RefSeq lists it as uncharacterized. NCBI's taxonomy places the organism in Eukaryota, Metazoa, Chordata, Mammalia, Carnivora, Felidae. The transcript has 2 exons. The record is from RefSeq and is a predicted model, not a curated record.
CAGAGCAAAUUCCAAGACAAAGUUUCAAGAAUGAUGAUUCAGAGGCUCACAGAGGACAUUUGCGGGGCUCUGCUGCUAGACUUGACCAUGGAGUCCAGGCGUGCAUCUUCUGGCUUCCGCAUGUCUUCUGCCCUGGGAGCUCUGGCCGCAGGUGGAUACCCGUUUGGUGCCAGCCAACAUCUGCCCUUCUAGAAGCCUAUGGAAACACCAGGCCCGCCAUGUGAUGAUUUCCUGUGCCUGCACCCAUGACAGACACGAUCUACUGUGGGAUUUCUGAACUUUGCUGGCAGCCAUGCAGAUGACCUGGGCUGGUCCUGACAUUCUCUGCCCAGUAUAUGUGCCCCCAGGUCCAUGCGGUGGCUGGAGCCACUGGGUAGAGUUUAAAAAGCAGUUCUGGUAGGAGGAGCGAGGGGAACGGCUGUUUGUCCUCACUGGGAUCUGAGCUGCUGGGGAAGCAAUGUGUGUCCAGAGGUGAGGCAGUGCUCACUGCAAGAAACAGUAAAAGUGGUUGGGGGGUGGGGGGAUCCAACCAGGGCCAUUAGUGCCCCCCCAUCAGUGCCGAGGGACUGUUCCCACGGCAUAUCCCAGCACACAGCUUGGUUGGGUUGGAUUGGGUUGAAGGCACAUGUCCUCUCUCCCAGCUGGCUCCUCAGGGGUGGAAUCUGGUUCACUUUGCCUUCGUGGCCCCCACAUCUUCCACAUGGAGCUGGGUUCACAGGCACUGCCCCUAAAAUCAUCCCUCAAUCUGAUCUGGCUUAACCUGCAGCUGCACCAUUUUCAGGAGAGGCCAGAUAAGUGGACUGCUGGGACCUAAGUGAUCCCCAGGCCACCAGGAGGUAGGCGUGGGCAAGAAACCCUUGACCUUGUACGGAAAUCACUGUGGGACUGCUGAGCCCCAUGCCUGGGAAUUAUACACACACUUUAAUAAAAUGGAAAGGACUCUG